This 447-nucleotide long non-coding RNA is filed under the name Elaeis guineensis (African oil palm). Its description in RNAcentral is "long non-coding RNA (EGUI_LNC046266)". Lineage: Eukaryota; Viridiplantae; Streptophyta; Magnoliopsida; Arecales; Arecaceae. The record is from RNAcentral.
CUUUAAGCUUAAAAGUUUUUAUUUAAAAAUAUGAUUAAAGAAUCAUAGUCAUUCAAAAAGGGGGAGAGUCAUUAGUAUUUGAACUCAAGCUAAUUUUUGAAAAAGAGAUGAUGUUUUAAGCAUAUUUUAAAUCAAAAGACAAAUUUUUAAAGGAGAGAUGAUUCAUUUGAAUUAAUUUUCGAAAUUUGAUACAUCUCUUAUUUUGAUAUAUUCUUGAAUUCAAUCCUUCCCAUGAGCUUUUUGAUGAUAUUUCUUAAUCCUUCACAUGAGCUUUUUGAUGCUAUCAAAAAGGAGGAAAGUGAUAUUGAGUAUAUGCUUAAAGGAUUAAUGCUUAAGAAACUUAAUAAAUUAAUGCUCAAGAUAAAAUCUUAAUGCUCAUUGAUUUGAAUAGAGAUAAUUAUAUAAAAUGAGUAUCAAAUAUUCUUAGAGUGAUCGUUGAGUCGACUG